GGGUUGUGAGGUUAAGCGACUAAGCGUACACGGUGGAUGCCCUGGCAGUCAGAGGCGAUGAAGGACGUGCUAAUCUGCGAUAAGCGUCGGUAAGGUGAUAUGAACCGUUAUAACCGGCGAUUUCCGAAUGGGGAAACCCAGUGUGUUUCGACACACUAUCAUUAACUGAAUCCAUAGGUUAAUGAGGCGAACCGGGGGAACUGAAACAUCUAAGUACCCCGAGGAAAAGAAAUCAACCGAGAUUCCCCCAGUAGCGGCGAGCGAACGGGGAGCAGCCCAGAGCCUGAAUCAGUGUGUGUGUUAGUGGAAGCGUCUGGAAAGGCGCGCGAUACAGGGUGACAGCCCCGUACACAAAAAUGCACAUGCUGUGAGCUCGAUGAGUAGGGCGGGACACGUGGUAUCCUGUCUGAAUAUGGGGGGACCAUCCUCCAAGGCUAAAUACUCCUGACUGACCGAUAGUGAACCAGUACCGUGAGGGAAAGGCGAAAAGAACCCCGGCGAGGGGAGUGAAAAAGAACCUGAAACCGUGUACGUACAAGCAGUGGGAGCACGCUUAGGCGUGUGACUGCGUACCUUUUGUAUAAUGGGUCAGCGACUUAUAUUCUGUAGCAAGGUUAACCGAAUAGGGGAGCCGAAGGGAAACCGAGUCUUAACUGGGCGUUAAGUUGCAGGGUAUAGACCCGAAACCCGGUGAUCUAGCCAUGGGCAGGUUGAAGGUUGGGUAACACUAACUGGAGGACCGAACCGACUAAUGUUGAAAAAUUAGCGGAUGACUUGUGGCUGGGGGUGAAAGGCCAAUCAAACCGGGAGAUAGCUGGUUCUCCCCGAAAGCUAUUUAGGUAGCGCCUCGUGAAUUCAUCUCCGGGGGUAGAGCACUGUUUCGGCAAGGGGGGCAUCCCGACUUACCAACCCGAUGCAAACUGCGAAUACCGGAGAAUGUUAUCACGGGAGACACACGGCGGGUGCUAACGUCCGUCGUGAAGAGGGAAACAACCCAGACCGCCAGCUAAGGUCCCAAAGUCAUGGUUAAGUGGGAAACGAUGUGGGAAGGCCCAGACAGCCAGGAUGUUGGCUUAGAAGCAGCCAUCAUUUAAAGAAAGCGUAAUAGCUCACUGGUCGAGUCGGCCUGCGCGGAAGAUGUAACGGGGCUAAACCAUGCACCGAAGCUGCGGCAGCGACGCUUAUGCGUUGUUGGGUAGGGGAGCGUUCUGUAAGCCUGCGAAGGUGUGCUGUGAGGCAUGCUGGAGGUAUCAGAAGUGCGAAUGCUGACAUAAGUAACGAUAAAGCGGGUGAAAAGCCCGCUCGCCGGAAGACCAAGGGUUCCUGUCCAACGUUAAUCGGGGCAGGGUGAGUCGACCCCUAAGGCGAGGCCGAAAGGCGUAGUCGAUGGGAAACAGGUUAAUAUUCCUGUACUUGGUGUUACUGCGAAGGGGGGACGGAGAAGGCUAUGUUGGCCGGGCGACGGUUGUCCCGGUUUAAGCGUGUAGGCUGGUUUUCCAGGCAAAUCCGGAAAAUCAAGGCUGAGGCGUGAUGACGAGGUACUACGGUGCUGAAGCAACAAAUGCCCUGCUUCCAGGAAAAGCCUCUAAGCAUCAGGUAACAUCAAAUCGUACCCCAAACCGACACAGGUGGUCAGGUAGAGAAUACCAAGGCGCUUGAGAGAACUCGGGUGAAGGAACUAGGCAAAAUGGUGCCGUAACUUCGGGAGAAGGCACGCUGAUAUGUAGGUGAAGUCCCUUGCGGAUGGAGCUGAAAUCAGUCGAAGAUACCAGCUGGCUGCAACUGUUUAUUAAAAACACAGCACUGUGCAAACACGAAAGUGGACGUAUACGGUGUGACGCCUGCCCGGUGCCGGAAGGUUAAUUGAUGGGGUUAGCGGUAACGCGAAGCUCUUGAUCGAAGCCCCGGUAAACGGCGGCCGUAACUAUAACGGUCCUAAGGUAGCGAAAUUCCUUGUCGGGUAAGUUCCGACCUGCACGAAUGGCGUAAUGAUGGCCAGGCUGUCUCCACCCGAGACUCAGUGAAAUUGAACUCGCUGUGAAGAUGCAGUGUACCCGCGGCAAGACGGAAAGACCCCGUGAACCUUUACUAUAGCUUGACACUGAACAUUGAGCCUUGAUGUGUAGGAUAGGUGGGAGGCUUUGAAGUGUGGACGCCAGUCUGCAUGGAGCCGACCUUGAAAUACCACCCUUUAAUGUUU
RNAcentral lists this ribosomal RNA (2200 nucleotides) under Escherichia coli. RNAcentral's name for it is "partial 23S ribosomal RNA". It matches the Rfam family "Bacterial large subunit ribosomal RNA", at positions 1 to 2215 of the family's 2925-position model. Lineage: Bacteria; Pseudomonadati; Pseudomonadota; Gammaproteobacteria; Enterobacterales; Enterobacteriaceae. The record is from RNAcentral.